RNAcentral lists this ribosomal RNA (951 nucleotides) under Torula fici. Its description in RNAcentral is "Torula ficus partial large subunit ribosomal RNA". It matches the Rfam family "Eukaryotic large subunit ribosomal RNA", at positions 24 to 983 of the family's 3401-position model. The record is from RNAcentral. Lineage: Eukaryota; Fungi; Ascomycota; Dothideomycetes; Pleosporales; Torulaceae.
UGUACCCCCGCGGUCGAUCUAAGCAUAUCAAUAAGCGGAGGAAAAGAAACCAACAGGGAUUGCCCUAGUAACGGCGAGUGAAGCGGCAACAGCUCAAAUUUGAAAUCUGGCUCCUUUGGGGUCCGAGUUGUAAUUUGCAGAGGGAGCUUUUGGCGUCGGUCGUGGUCUAAGUUCCUUGGAACAGGACGUCACAGAGGGUGAGAAUCCCGUACGUGGCCGCCGGCCUUCGCCUUGUAAAGCCCCUUCGACGAGUCGAGUUGUUUGGGAAUGCAGCUCUAAAUGGGAGGUAAAUUUCUUCUAAAGCUAAAUACCCGCCAGAGACCGAUAGCGCACAAGUAGAGUGAUCGAAAGAUGAAAAGCACUUUGGAAAGAGAGUGAAAAAGCACGUGAAAUUGUUGAAAGGGAAGCGCUUGCGGCCAGACGUGCCCGCGGUUGAUCAUCCAGGCUCCAGCCUGGUGCACUCCUCCGCGGGCAGGCCAGCAUCAGUUCGGGCGGUCGGAUAAAGGCCUCUAUCACGUACCACCCCUCGGGGUGGCCUUAUAGGGGAGGCGCAACACGGCCAGCCCGGACUGAGGUUCCGCGCAUCUGCUAGGAUGCUGGCGUAAUGGCAGCAAGCGGCCCGUCUUGAAACACGGACCAAGGAGUCUAACAUCUAUGCGAGUGUUUGGGUGUCAAGCCCGAGCGCGCAAUGAAAGUGAACGGAGGUGGGAACCCUUACCGGUGCACCAUCGACCGAUCCUGAUGUCUUCGGAUGGAUUUGAGUAAGAGCAUAGCUGUUGGGACCCGAAAGAUGGUGAACUAUGCCUGAAUAGGGUGAAGCCAGAGGAAACUCUGGUGGAGGCUCGCAGCGGUUCUGACGUGCAAAUCGAUCGUCAAAUUUGGGCAUAGGGGCGAAAGACUAAUCGAACCAUCUAGUAGCUGGUUCCUGCCGAAGUUCCCCUCAGGAUAUGA